This is a small nuclear RNA of Heterocephalus glaber (naked mole-rat), 139 nucleotides long. Its record names the gene U2. It matches the Rfam family "U2 spliceosomal RNA". Rfam says of the family: U2 is a small nuclear RNA (snRNA) component of the spliceosome (involved in pre-mRNA splicing). Complementary binding between U2 snRNA (in an area lying towards the 5' end but 3' to hairpin I) and the branchpoint sequence (BPS) of the intron results the bulging out of an unpaired adenosine, on the BPS, which initiates a nucleophilic attack at the intronic 5' splice site, thus starting the first of two transesterification reactions that mediate splicing. The record is from Ensembl. Lineage: Eukaryota; Metazoa; Chordata; Mammalia; Rodentia; Bathyergidae.
GCUGCUUCUCAGCCUUUUGGCUAAGAUCAAGUGUAGAAUCACAGUAUGCUAUGGUUAAAUAUAUCCACUUUUUAAUAUUCCUGGCAGCCAGGAUGAAAAAAAAUCUUUAAAUUUACAUCUCAUGUAGAUAAUAGCUUCU